UACGUAGGGUGCGAGCGUUAAUCGGAAUUACUGGGCGUAAAGCGUGCGCAGGCGGUUAUGUAAGACAGUUGUGAAAUCCCCGGGCUCAACCUGGGAAUUGCAUCUGUGACUGCAUAGCUAGAGUACGGUAGAGGGGGAUGGAAUUCCGCGUGUAGCAGUGAAAUGCGUAGAUAUGCGGAGGAACACCGAUGGCGAAGGCGGCAUCCUGGACCGGCAUUGACGCUGAGGCGCGAAAGCCAGGGGAGCAAACGGG
Molecule: ribosomal RNA, 253 nt
Filed under: uncultured bacterium
Lineage: Bacteria
Description: partial 16S ribosomal RNA
Rfam family: Bacterial small subunit ribosomal RNA
Source: RNAcentral